GGGAUUGUGGUUCAAUGGUAGAGCGCUCGUCUAGCAUGCUAGAGGCACUGGGUUCGAACCUCAGCACCA
Non-coding RNA from Ictidomys tridecemlineatus (thirteen-lined ground squirrel), 69 nucleotides. NCBI's taxonomy places the organism in Eukaryota, Metazoa, Chordata, Mammalia, Rodentia, Sciuridae. The record is from Rfam.